RNAcentral lists this long non-coding RNA (540 nucleotides) under Homo sapiens (human). The record is from RNAcentral. Lineage: Eukaryota; Metazoa; Chordata; Mammalia; Primates; Hominidae.
UCACAGGAUGAUGCCACCCCCACGGACAGGCAAGGAGCUCUCACCUUCCCCAGGACCCCAGCUGCCACCAGAGCUCCAGAUGGCCCUGCUCCUAACACCUGUAAGAUCCCUCCUCCUAUGUGACCUUUUGCCUGGCCACUUUCUCUAAAAUUCCAACUCCCUCACACUGCACAUUCCCUCACACUGCACAUUCUAUAUCCCCUUCCCCGCAGGAUUUUUCUUUUUUAGAGAUGGGGUCUCACUAUGGAUUUUUCUUCUUUGCCUUAAUUUUUAUCCAACACCCUACACAUUCUAUUUAUUUAUACCAUCGUGUCUGUCUUCCCCAGAGAAUGCCAGCUUCUUCAGGCCAGGGAUCUCUGCUUAUUCUGUUCACUACUGAAUUCCCAGUGCCCAGAACAGCACCCAACACGCAGUAAUGAGAUUGUUGACGAAUGGAAGACCGCACUGCUCCAUGGGGAUCUGGGAGAGGAAAGGGUUCCUCUCUAGGCAGCUGCUGAGGCCUCAUCGAUCCAGUAUCUACACAGGGGUCCAGUCCAGCUC